RNAcentral lists this ribosomal RNA (383 nucleotides) under uncultured eukaryote. RNAcentral's name for it is "partial 18S ribosomal RNA". It matches the Rfam family "Eukaryotic small subunit ribosomal RNA", at positions 592 to 976 of the family's 1831-position model. The record is from RNAcentral.
CAAUAGCGUAUAUUAAAGUUGUUGCAGUUAAAAAGCUCGUAGUUGGAUUUCUGGUGGGAGCGAUCGGUCUGGCGCUUAGCGCGAGUACUUGCAUCGUCUCCGGCCAUCCUUGGGGAGAGUCUGUCUGGCAUUAAGUUGUCGGGCAGAGGAUCCUCAUCGUUUACUGUGAAAAAAUUAGAGUGUUCAAAGCAGGCUUAUGCCGUUGAAUAUAUUAGCAUGGAAUAAUAAGAUAGGACUUUGGUACUAUUUUGUUGGUUUGCGCACCAAAGUAAUGAUUAAUAGGGACAGUUGGGGGUAUUCGUAUUCCGUUGUCAGAGGUGAAAUUCUUGGAUUUACGGAAGACGAACAUCUGCGAAAGCAUUUGCCAAGGAUGUUUUCAUUGA